Molecule: transfer RNA, 73 nt
Organism: Brucella melitensis
Lineage: Bacteria; Pseudomonadati; Pseudomonadota; Alphaproteobacteria; Hyphomicrobiales; Brucellaceae
Rfam family: tRNA
About the family: Transfer RNA (tRNA) molecules are approximately 80 nucleotides in length.
Source: Rfam
GGGGCCGUAGCUCAGCUGGGAGAGCACCUGCUUUGCAAGCAGGGGGUCGUCGGUUCGAUCCCGUCCGGCUCCA